GACGAACGCUGGCGGCGUGCUUAACACAUGCAAGUCGAACGGAAAGGCCCUGCGUUUGUGGGGUGCUCGAGUGGCGAACGGGUGAGUAACACGCGAGUAACCUGCCCUUGACUUUGGGAUAACUUCAGGAAACUGGGGCUAAUACCGGAUAGGAGCUCCUGCUGCAUGGUGGGGGUUGGAAAGUUUCGGCGGUGGGGGAUGGACUCGCGGCUUAUCAGCUUGUUGGUGGGGUAGUGGCUUACCAAGGCUUUGACGGGUAGCCGGCAUGAGAGGGUGACCGGCCACAUUGGGACUGAGAUACGGCCCAGACUCGUACGGGAGGCAGCAGGGGGGAAUUUUGCACAAUGGGCGGACGCCUGAUGCAGCAACGCCGCGUGCGGGAUGACGGCCUUCGGGUUGUAAACCGCUGUCGCCUGUGACGAAGCGUGAGUGACGGUAAUGGGUAAAGAAGCACCGGCUAACUACGUG
Molecule: ribosomal RNA, 468 nt
Filed under: uncultured bacterium
Lineage: Bacteria
Description: partial 16S ribosomal RNA
Rfam family: Bacterial small subunit ribosomal RNA
Source: RNAcentral